Molecule: ribosomal RNA, 484 nt
Filed under: uncultured bacterium
Lineage: Bacteria
Description: partial 16S ribosomal RNA
Rfam family: Bacterial small subunit ribosomal RNA
Source: RNAcentral
AUUGAACGCUGGCGGCAUGCCUAACACAUGCAAGUCGAGCGGACGAAGGGAGCUUUCUCCUGUAUUCAGCUGCGGACGGGUGAGUAAUUCCUAGGAAUCUGCCUUGCCUUUGGGGAUAACGUCCGGAAACGGGCGCUAAUAUCGCAUACGUUCUGAUGUAGAAAGUGGGGGAUCUUCGGACCUCACGCUAUCUGAUGAGCCUAGGUCGGAUUAGCUAGUUGGUUGGGUAAAGGCCUACCAAGGCGACGAUCCGUAACUGGUCUGAGAGGAUGAUCAGUCACACUGGAACUGAGACACGGUCCAGACUCCUACGGGAGGCAGCAGUAGGGAAUAUUGGGCAAUGGGCGAAAGCCUGAUCCAGCCAUGCCGCGUGUGUGAAGAAGGUCUUCGGAUUGUAAAGCACUUUAAGUUGGGAGGAAGAGCAGUAAGUUAAUACCUUGCUGUUUUGACGUUACCAACAGAAUAAGCACCGGCUAACUUCGUG